AGUGAACGCUGGCGGUAGGCCUAACACAUGCAAGUCGAACGGCAGCAUAGUAAGAGCUUGCUCUUACGGGUGGCGAGUGGCGGACGGGUGAGGAAUACAUCGGAAUCUACUUUUUCGUGGGGGAUAACGUAGGGAAACUUACGCUAAUACCGCAUACGACCUACGGGUGAAAGCAGGGGAUCUUCGGACCUUGCGCGAUUGAAUGAGCCGAUGUCGGAUUAGCUAGUUGGCGGGGUAAAGGCCCACCAAGGCGACGAUCCGUAGCUGGUCUGAGAGGAUGAUCAGCCACACUGGAACUGAGACACGGUCCAGACUCCUACGGGGGGCAGCAGUGGGGAAUAUUGGACAAUGGGCGCAAGCCUGAUCCAGCCAUACCGCGUGGGUGAAGAAGGCCUUCGGGUUGUAAAGCCCUUUUGUUGGGAAAGAAAAGCAGCAGGUUAAUACCCCGCUGUUCUGACGGUACCCAAAGAAUAAGCACCGGCUAACUUCGUG
Molecule: ribosomal RNA, 492 nt
Filed under: uncultured bacterium
Lineage: Bacteria
Description: partial 16S ribosomal RNA
Rfam family: Bacterial small subunit ribosomal RNA
Source: RNAcentral